CGUUGAUUUUUUUACAGGUGUUGCACGACUGUCGUCAGCUCGUGUUGUGAAACGUUUGGUUCAUUCCUUUAACGAGCAAAACUCUUAUUUUUAAUUGUCUUAAUUUUACGUUUAUUUAAAUUUUUAUUUUAAAAUUUAAAAUCCGCUUUAAAAAAACAGCCAGUGAUGAAUUGGAGGAAGAUAAGAAUAAAGUCAAGUCUCUGUGGCCCUUAUGGAUUGGGCUAUACACGUGCUACAAUGAAAAUUACAAUAAGUUACAAAAAAUUAAAAUUUUAGUUAAUCUCUUAAAAGUUUUCGUAGUUCGAAUUAUAAACUGAAACCCGUUUAUAUGAAGUUGGAAUCGAUAGUAAUCGCAAAUCAUAAUGUUGCGGUGAAUAUGUACACUGGUCUUGCACACACCGCCCGUCACAUCCGAAGAAUUAAUUUUGCUUGAAG
This 435-nucleotide ribosomal RNA is filed under the name Ochromonas sp. CCMP1393. RNAcentral's name for it is "partial Bacterial small subunit ribosomal RNA". It matches the Rfam family "Bacterial small subunit ribosomal RNA", at positions 1021 to 1426 of the family's 1533-position model. Lineage: Eukaryota; Chrysophyceae; Chromulinales; Chromulinaceae. The record is from RNAcentral.